UAAGGAAUAUUGGACAAUGGGGGCAACCCUGAUCCAGCCAUGCCGCGUGCAGGAUGAAAGUGCUCAGCACUGUAAACUGCUUUUGUUCGGGAAAAAUUCCCUGGUUUCUACCGGGGUUGAUUGUACUGAAAGAAUAAGGGACGGCUAACUUCGUGCCAGCAGCCGCGGUAAUACGAAGGUCCCAAGCGUUAUCCGGAUUUAUUGGGUUUAAAGGGUGCGUAGGCGGACUAUUAAGUCAGUGGUGAAAUCCUGCAGCCUAACUGUAGAAUUGCCAUUGAUACUGAUGGUCUUGAGUACAUUUGAAGUGGGCGGAAUGUGUCAUGUAGCGGUGAAAUGCUUAGAUAUGACACAGAACACCGAUUGCGUAGGCAGCUCGCUAAACUGUAACUGACGCUGAGGCACGAAAGCGUGGGGAGCAAACAGGAUUAGAUACCCCGGUAGUCC
This 444-nucleotide ribosomal RNA is filed under the name uncultured bacterium. RNAcentral describes it as "bacterial SSU rRNA". It matches the Rfam family "Bacterial small subunit ribosomal RNA", at positions 355 to 796 of the family's 1533-position model. The record is from RNAcentral.